This 771-nucleotide long non-coding RNA is filed under the name Capra hircus (goat). RNAcentral describes it as "lncRNA (ENSCHIG00010029106.1)". The record is from RNAcentral. Lineage: Eukaryota; Metazoa; Chordata; Mammalia; Artiodactyla; Bovidae.
UCAAUAAAGGAUAGUUAUUUUCAUUGCUUAUAAAUAGGGUGAGCAAACUGUUGAAAUAACUAGCCUGGGCACAUAACAGUUAAGGUUUAGAAAAACACAUGUCUAGUUUGGCAGCAAAAGCACAAAGGUUCAUAUGAUGGUCCUGAAUGCUGUCUGGAAGAUACCACUUUAAAUUCAAACUCCACCCAGGAAGGGAAAAAGACAGCAUCAUGUAAUUCUAAAACACGUGAUGCCCCCAACCCUCAUGUCCUUUCUCCUUACCCCUCUCAUAAGGAAAAGACAGUGACUCUGCUGUCUUUCUCUAGGACAGGCCCUGGUCGCCUCUGCCAUGAGUGCACAGCGGUGCCAUCAGAGCCCGGAGCCAAGUAACCAGGUCAGCCAGAAAGAAAGGUGCUGCGUACAUUUGUGUCUGUGAAAUAACGAUUUUUCUAAUUUACUUUCUGUCUUGAGCCCUAUCCUUUUGGAGUCCUCCCCACCCCCACCAGAAGCUUCCAGGGGCCUCUGGCCUCCAGGUAUCUGCCCACAUGGGUUCUGGCUGAGCCGUCCAUCAUUCUGCAUGCUGUACCCUGCAGGCAGUGGCUCUGCCAUGCCCAACCAGGGACGCGGUCAUCUCUUUGCAAGGCUGCCUGGAACGGGGGAUCCGUGAUCCAAAUGCCUACAGGGACCGGGCUGGGAGAGCUCGCGAGUAAAGCGUGCAGUCUGCCUAUCAGACAUGUAAGAACAUCUUCACUUCCAUGGAGAAGUGCACCGGCUCCUCUGUUUCUUUCCUGA